Molecule: ribosomal RNA, 467 nt
Filed under: uncultured bacterium
Lineage: Bacteria
Description: partial 16S ribosomal RNA
Rfam family: Bacterial small subunit ribosomal RNA
Source: RNAcentral
GAUGAACGCUGGCGGCGUGCUUAACACAUGCAAGUCGAACGGUGAAGGCGGAGCUUGCUCUGCUGGAUCAGUGGCGAACGGGUGAGUAACACGUGAGCAAUCUGCCCCUGACUCUGGGAUAAGCGCUGGAAACGGCGUCUAAUACUGGAUACGAGCUGCGAAGGCAUCUUCAGCAGCUGGAAAGAACUUCGGUCAGGGAUGAGCUCGCGGCCUAUCAGCUUGUUGGUGAGGUAACGGCUCACCAAGGCGUCGACGGGUAGCCGGCCUGAGAGGGUGACCGGCCACACUGGGACUGAGACACGGCCCAGACUCCUACGGGAGGCAGCAGUGGGGAAUAUUGCACAAUGGGCGAAAGCCUGAUGCAGCAACGCCGCGUGAGGGACGACGGCCUUCGGGUUGUAAACCUCUUUUAGCAGGGAAGAAGCGAAAGUGACGGUACCGGCAGAAAAAGCGCCGGCUAACUACGU